GCCGGGGGUGGAGCCUGCGACUCGGGAUCAAAGGACUCAGACUGGAAUUGCAGGGCUGCUGUUUCCUGUGUGACUCUGAGCCUACAUCCUCCACAGAGAGAUGGGGAUAAGUAGUGAAACCUGCGCAGGCUUGGGGGAAGGUUAACCAGAUGCACAGUCUGCUCAGCACAAGAUUUAGCACGAAGGUUGCUCAAAUGUUUGCUUCCUUGGAUGGACUAGCCCUGGCUGGACGAAGGGAUAACGUGCGAUGAUUGCUGGUCAUCAUCGGAAACCGUCUCAUCUGCAUAUGGACUAUUUGAGAGCCCUCAGAAGCAAGAGCUCACCUGUCUCGUCCAUACCAAAUCCUCAGCAUCUGCACUCCCGAGAAAGUGAAAGUGAAGUCGCUCAGUCGUGUCGGACUCUUUGCGACCCCAUGGACACCAGGCUCCUCCUUCCAUGGGAUUUUCUAGGCAAGAGUACUGGAGUGGGUUGCCUUUUCCUUCUCCAGGGAACUUCCCGACCCUGGGAUCGAACCCAGGUCUCAGGCAUAGACAGACACUUUACCGUCUGAGCCACCAGGGAAGUCUCUGCACUCCCGAGAAAUACUUGUUAAAUGAAUGAAUGAUUGAAGUCCUUCAUGGUGUCUUCCUAACUGAAAGGAGAGCUUCAUCCUGGGUGAUCCAUGGCAGUUUAUUUACUGCUGUAUGCAGGGCUUUUCCUGGUUGUGGUGGGUCCAUGCAUUGGUGGUCUCCACUGACUUUCAGCCCUCUUCCUCGCAUGUAAAUUCCCGGAUUGGACACAUAACUAACAUGCUUUGGCCAAUGGGAUGGUAGCAGGUGUGCUGGGCACAGAGCCUUGAUAAAUAUUUGAAUGCUGGGGUCUGUCCUCUUGGGACAUUGUCUCUUGAAGUCCUGAGUUACUCUGUAAAGAGGUCUAGCUGCUGUGCUGACAUGGGGCACAAGUGUUCCAGUCAUCCCCUCGUUCCAGCCACCUCAGCUGAAGCCCCAGAAGUCUGAGUGAAGAUGCUCUUUGGAACCUUCCACCCCAGGAGACACCUGGCAGGGUGGAAGAACCACCCAGCUGAGCCCAGCCCAGAGCGCAGAGCCAGGGGAAGUAUGCAGUCACGUUUUAAACAAGCUUGACAUGCUGACUUCAGCAAGAAGUAGCUGAAAUACCAGUUUACUUUCCAUUUUGAAUGGCUGUGCGAGUCCACAACUCAGAAACCGAGGUGGCAAAGGCUGCAACACGGUUAGCUUUGCUUUUGCACUUUGCCCCGCAUCCCACACAAGUCAGUCAAUAGUUCGUUGAGCAGUUUAUUGAACUCUCCAUGCUAAUCUCUGUGCUACUUAAGUGUGUGAUGCAGAGGGUGCUGGUCGUUUUCUCCACAAUCUUUAAGGUCAUGCCAGAGGUGUCAGUGGGUCCAUGCCACGCCUUGUUCCCGACCACACAGCUUGUGCAAGGCUGUGGCAGCUGGGCCUGCAGGGGUGAGCCUCCUGCAGACACUGCAGCCAGGUUACCGCCCUCUCCCUAGGCCUUCCCUCCUGGACCGUUCCCCCCACCACCCCCGCCCAUACCAGCUACUCUCCUAGAGAGAGAGAGAGAGAGAGAACAGGGUAGGUCUGCCUAACCUUGACCUUCAUUCAUGUCUUAAAAGAGGAGACAAACCCUACUCUAUACUGCCUUAAAACCUACAUUUAAGUAGAAAGCCUUAUUUUUUCCCCUUAUUUUUCCCUCUUGGACGGAAUUAAGUAAAUCCAAAGUGACAACACAGUUUAUCUCAGAUUAGAAGUUAUGAUUGGUGGUUUGAAAGCAAAAAAAAAGUCAAUUUUAUAGUUAAAUACAUUAAAAUUUUUUAAGGAAGGAAGGAACGGGAAAUCUUUUUAUUAAAAAAGUCAAAUGCACAGACUAAAAAGACCUAAUAAUUACUAAGUUGCCAUAUUCACUUUACAUGUGAAUGUGUGUGUGUGUGUGUG
Long non-coding RNA from Bos taurus (domestic cattle), 1952 nucleotides. The record is from Ensembl. NCBI's taxonomy places the organism in Eukaryota, Metazoa, Chordata, Mammalia, Artiodactyla, Bovidae.